UACGGAGGGUGCUAGCGUUGUUCGGAAUCACUGGGCGUAAAGGGCGUGUAGGCGGUCUGUUAAGUCUGAUGUGAAAUCCCCUCGCUUAACGAGGGAACUGCGUCGGAUACUGGCAGACUCGAGUACCGGAGAGGAAGGUGGAAUUCCCGGUGUAGCGGUGAAAUGCGUAGAUAUGCGGAGGAACACCGAUGGCGAAGGCAAUCCCCUGGGCCUGCACUGACGCUCAUGCACGAAAGCGUGGGGAGCAAACAGG
Molecule: ribosomal RNA, 253 nt
Filed under: uncultured bacterium
Lineage: Bacteria
Description: partial 16S ribosomal RNA
Rfam family: Bacterial small subunit ribosomal RNA
Source: RNAcentral